RNAcentral lists this unclassified non-coding RNA (41 nucleotides) under Enterovirus A71. RNAcentral describes it as "RNA (41-MER) from Enterovirus A71 (PDB 5V17, chain A)". Lineage: Riboviria; Orthornavirae; Pisuviricota; Pisoniviricetes; Picornavirales; Picornaviridae. The record is from RNAcentral.
GGAUCAACCCCAGGUGUGGCACACCAGUCAUACCUUGAUCC